This 406-nucleotide ribosomal RNA is filed under the name uncultured bacterium. RNAcentral describes it as "partial 16S ribosomal RNA". It matches the Rfam family "Bacterial small subunit ribosomal RNA", at positions 30 to 526 of the family's 1533-position model. The record is from RNAcentral.
AUUGAACGCUGGCGGCAGGCCUAACACAUGCAAGUCGAGCGAGCGGCGGACGGGUGAGUAAUGUCUGGGAAACUGCCCGAUAGAGGGGGAUAACUACUGGAAACGGUGGCUAAUACCGCAUACUAUCGGAUGUGCCCAUAUGGGAUUAGCUAGUAGGUGGGGUAACGGCUCACCUAGGCGACGAUCUCUAGCUGUUCUGCGAGGAUGAUCAGCCACACUGGAACUGAGACACGGUCCAGACUCCUACGGGAGGCAGCAGUGGGGAAUAUUGCACAAUGGGCGCAAGCCGGAUGCAGCCAUGUCGCGUGUAUGAAGAAGGCCUUAGGGUUGUAAAGUACUUUCAGCGAGGAGGCGUUACUCGCAGAAGAAGCACCGGCUAACUCCGUGCCAGCAGCCGCGGUAAUUC